CGGUGAAUUCGACCGUGGUUUUG
Molecule: microRNA, 23 nt
Filed under: Daphnia pulex (common water flea)
Lineage: Eukaryota; Metazoa; Arthropoda; Branchiopoda; Diplostraca; Daphniidae
Description: Dpu-Mir-36_5p* (star (passenger))
Source: RNAcentral